GAACUCUUACAGGCUCAAUACGACUAACUAUAGGGUAUCUCGCAUGCAGGCCUCUGGAUAAGGCCCGGGGCCUUUAGUUUCGUGGUGGAUUGAACCAGGCGUCACGGCUUAAGGGCCUUCUGGUUCGAUUCUGCCCAGGAUCCGGAUAUCGGCUACUACAUCACCCUUAGGCCGGGGCGCGAAAAUUACACAAUCCUGACUCCGGGGGUGGUGACAAGAUAUACUAACUCGAUUUUUAAUCUCGAUUGUAGUGAGGGUUUUCUAAAUCGAAGCUAUAGUACGAUUAGAGGGCAAGUCGGGUGCCAGCUGCCGCGGUAAUUCCAGCUCUACUAGCGUAUAUUACCGUUGCCGCAGUUUAAAGCUCUUUUUUUUUAUUUUUAGGAAAGUAUGCUCGUAUGAGUUUACAUCCUACUAGUCUUUGACUGUUACUGUGAGAAAUUAUAGUGUUUCAAGCACGCUUUAACAGAUACAUAGCAUGGCAUACGAUGACAGAAAAGACACAAAUUACGAUUAUAGAGACAGCUGGGGGGCAUAGCAUCUGUCUCUUCUCUUACUGUUGACAUUCUGGACUUGUUAAAGACUAGCGUAUGCACAGCAUUGGCACGACGUUUUAUUAGUCAUAGCCACGAUAGGGAUCUAGACAUCCAUUCUGUCGAGUCUAUCUUUAACUAUGCGACUAGGGAUCGGAUGGAUCCACCCAUUUCAGUUCCUUAUGAAAUCAGUCUUGGUCUAGGGGGAGUUGACGCAAACUGACCUUAUAAUUGCCGAGUACCCUCGACUGGAACCUGCGCUUACUGACUCAUAGGUACCUACAGUCGACCUGUACGAUGAGAUGAGCGUAUCGGAUCUAGGUGGGCAG
This 859-nucleotide ribosomal RNA is filed under the name uncultured rumen protozoa. Its description in RNAcentral is "bacterial SSU rRNA". The stretch from base 1 to 732 matches the Rfam family "Eukaryotic small subunit ribosomal RNA", at positions 237 to 1116 of the family's 1831-position model. The record is from RNAcentral.